GGGGGCUAUACAUGCAGUCGAGCGGACAGAAGGGAGCUUGCUCCCUGAUGUUAGCGGCGGACGGGUGAGUAACACGUGGGUAACCUGCCUGUAAGACUGGGAUAACUCCGGGAAACCGGAGCUAAUACCGGAUAGUUCCUUGAACCGCAUGGUUCAAGGAUGAAAGACGGUUUCGGCUGUCACUUACAGAUGGACCCGCGGCGCAUUAGCUAGUUGGUGGGGUAAUGGCUCACCAAGGCGACGAUGCGUAGCCGACCUGAGAGGGUGAUCGGCCACACUGGGACUGAGACACGGCCCAGACUCCUACGGGAGGCAGCAGUAGGGAAUCUUCCGCAAUGGACGAAAGUCUGACGGAGCAACGCCGCGUGAGUGAUGAAGGUUUUCGGAUCGUAAAGCUCUGUUGUUAGGGAAGAACAAGUGCGAGAGUAACUGCUCGCACCUUGACGGUACCUAACCAGAAAGCCACGGCUAACUACGUGCCAGCAGCCGCGGUAAUACGUAGGUGGCAAGCGUUGUCCGGAAUUAUUGGGCGUAAAGGGCUCGCAGGCGGUUUCUUAAGUCUGAUGUGAAAGCCCCCGGCUCAACCGGGGAGGGUCAUUGGAAACUGGGAAACUUGAGUGCAGAAGAGGAGAGUGGAAUUCCACGUGUAGCGGUGAAAUGCGUAGAGAUGUGGAGGAACACCAGUGGCGAAGGCGACUCUCUGGUCUGUAACUGACGCUGAGGAGCGAAAGCGUGGGGAGCGAACAGGAUUAGAUACCCUGGUAGUCCACGCCGUAAACGAUGAGUGCUAAGUGUUAGGGGGUUUCCGCCCCUUAGUGCUGCAGCUAACGCAUUAAGCACUCCGCCUGGGGAGUACGGUCGCAAGACUGAAACUCAAAGGAAUUGACGGGGGCCCGCACAAGCGGUGGAGCAUGUGGUUUAAUUCGAAGCAACGCGAAGAACCUUACCAGGUCUUGACAUCCUCUGACAACCCUAGAGAUAGGGCUUUCCCUUCGGGGACAGAGUGACAGGUGGUGCAUGGUUGUCGUCAGCUCGUGUCGUGAGAUGUUGGGUUAAGUCCCGCAACGAGCGCAACCCUUGAUCUUAGUUGCCAGCAUUCAGUUGGGCACUCUAAGGUGACUGCCGGUGACAACCGGAGGAAAGGUGGGGAUGACGUCAAUCAUCAUGCCCCUUAUGACCGGGGCUACCACGUGCUACAUGGACAAAACAAGGGCUGCAGAACCCCAAGGUUACCAAUCCCAAAAUCUUUCCCAUUUGGAUCCAAUUUGCAACCCACGGCGGAAACUGGAACCCUUUAAUCCGGAAAACCAUGCCCGGUA
Molecule: ribosomal RNA, 1319 nt
Filed under: Bacillus safensis
Lineage: Bacteria; Bacillati; Bacillota; Bacilli; Caryophanales; Bacillaceae
Description: bacterial SSU rRNA
Rfam family: Bacterial small subunit ribosomal RNA
Source: RNAcentral